This 752-nucleotide ribosomal RNA is filed under the name uncultured bacterium. RNAcentral's name for it is "bacterial SSU rRNA". It matches the Rfam family "Bacterial small subunit ribosomal RNA", at positions 20 to 767 of the family's 1533-position model. The record is from RNAcentral.
UGGCUCAGAUUGAACGCUGGCGGCAGGCCUAACACAUGCAAGUCGAGCGGUAGAGAGAAGCUUGCUUCUCUUGAGAGCGGCGGAUGGGUGAGUAAUGCCUAGGAAUCUGCCUGGUAGUGGGGGAUAACGUUCGGAAACGGACGCUAAUACCGCAUACGUCCUACGGGAGAAAGCAGGGGACCUUCGGGCCUUGCGCUAUCAGAUGAGCCUAGGUCGGAUUAGCUAGUUGGUGAGGUAAUGGCUCACCAAGGCGACGAUCCGUAACUGGUCUGAGAGGAUGAUCAGUCACACUGGAACUGAGACACGGUCCAGACUCCUACGGGAGGCAGCAGUGGGGAAUAUUGGACAAUGGGCGAAAGCCUGAUCCAGCCAUGCCGCGUGUGUGAAGAAGGUCUUCGGAUUGUAAAGCACUUUAAGUUGGGGGGAAGGGUUGUAGAUUAAUACUCUGCAAUUUUGACGUUACCGACAGAAUAAGCACCGGCUAACUCUGUGCCAGCAGCCGCGGUAAUACAGAGGGUGCAAGCGUUAAUCGGAAUUACUGGGCGUAAAGCGCGCGUAGGUGGUUUGUUAAGUUGGAUGUGAAAUCCCCGGGCUCAACCUGGGAACUGCAUUCAAAACUGACUGACUAGAGUAUGGUAGAGGGUGGUGGAAUUUCCUGUGUAGCGGUGAAAUGCGUAGAUAUAGGAAGGAACACCAGUGGCGAAGGCGACCACCUGGACUAAUACUGACACUGAGGUGCGAAAGCGUGGGGA